This is a long non-coding RNA of Mya arenaria, 1421 nucleotides long. RefSeq lists it as uncharacterized. The record is from RefSeq and is a predicted model, not a curated record. The transcript has 3 exons. NCBI's taxonomy places the organism in Eukaryota, Metazoa, Mollusca, Bivalvia, Myida, Myidae.
GUGGAUGUUCAAAGGCGACAGAUUAUACUGGUAAAUGAAAACUAAAUUCUACUUUCGUUUUCAUUAAUAUAUCCAGUGAUAGUAAAUAAAUUGGCGAACACUACUUGGAAUCUACACUCUUAACUUAUGAACCUGACUCGACUGGCUGGAAGAAAAUGAGAGCGAUACUCCACACCAUCUUCGUUUGCGUCACACCUUGGUUAAGGUUUCGCAUGUAAUUCCCCUGAUUCCUGCAACAUCAGACCGGGUGGAGUCAGCACGGAGUUUAGAACAAAAUGGCUUCGUACAAAGACAUCCUUAAGGAAAAGGAUAACCAGAACUGGCAGAAAGGAUCCCUCGCUCUCAAGAUCACCAAGGCCGGCCUACGAGGCCUUGUUGAAGGAGAAUCGCAUCGCUUUCAGCAAAAGAUCCACUCGUCAGUCCUCCGGGCCAGGCAUCUUGCUGCUGGAACAACAUGCAGCCUUUGUCUGACAGGAAAUGUAUUGCAGUGUCCAACAAAUGGACUGUGCUCACAACCGCGAAACUGCAAGUACCACAAGACACCAUUUACGAUACCUUGCCGACCUUGCCCCUCACAUAUAUGUGAUGACUUUCGGGAUGAAAUAUGGACUGUCCACAGAUAUCGUAAACCAUCCUGUGGUGGACCAUCCUGGAAGAAUACCAAAGCCAACCAAUGGUGUACGAACCAUUGGCAAAUAGCCAAAUGCUUUAUGCCACCUGACGGCUAUCACGAUGUGACGUCGUACGACGAUAUGUCGUCACUGUCACACACUGUGCCAUCACCGUCAUACACUGUGCCGUCACCGUGCGAUCACUGUCACAAACUGUGCCGUCACCGUGCCGUCACUAUAUUACACUGAGCCGUCACCGUGCCGUCACCGUCAUACACUGUGCCGUCACUGUCAUACACUGUGCCAUCACUGUCAUACACUGUGCUGUCACCGUCAUACACUGUGCCAUCACUGUCAUACACUGUGCCCUCACUGUCAUACACUGUACCCUCACUGUCAUUUAAUUGGAAAUGAAUUGCGGAGUUGAUGUCGUUAUCGGGGUAUGAACGCAAUUGGGCUGGUCAAAGUGUGUGGAGUUUAAUAGAAUCCACGCGUACUUUGACCAGCCCAAUUUCGUUCAUAUCCCCGAUAAUGACAUCAAACCCACAAUUCAUUACUUGAAUACUUCAUUACACCAAUAGUUCAUUAUGUCAUUCACGAAUUGUUAAAACAAUACUUCAUUUCAUUUAGGAAACCUUUCAGUUAUCUUUUCUUACACAUUCUGUAAAUGGAAUGACCCGACUGUAACUGGACACAUUUUAUCAAAUGAUAUCAUAAUUACGCUGGAAAAGAUCAACCACUUGAAAUCACUUUAAAUGUAAAAUUGAAAUACAUAUGUAUCAUAAAUUAACACUUUCUAAAAUGUUGAUU